CGAAGGGGGCUAGCGUUGCUCGGAAUCACUGGGCGUAAAGCGCACGUAGGCGGAUCUUUAAGUCAGGGGUGAAAUCCUGGAGCUCAACUCCAGAACUGCCUUUGAUACUGGGGAUCUCGAGUCCGGAAGAGGUGAGUGGAACUCCGAGUGUAGAGGUGAAAUUCGUAGAUAUUCGGAAGAACACCAGUGGCGAAGGCGGCUCACUGGUCCGGUACUGACGCUGAGGUGCGAGAGCGUGGGGAGCAAACAGGAUUAGAUACCCUGGUAGUCCACGCCGUAAACGAUGGAUGCUAGCCGUUGGCGGGUUUACUCGUCAGUGGCGCAGCUAACGCAUUAAGCAUCCCGCCUGGGGAGUACGGUCGCAAGAUUA
Molecule: ribosomal RNA, 370 nt
Filed under: uncultured organism
Description: bacterial SSU rRNA
Rfam family: Bacterial small subunit ribosomal RNA
Source: RNAcentral